RNAcentral lists this ribosomal RNA (433 nucleotides) under uncultured bacterium. RNAcentral describes it as "partial 16S ribosomal RNA". It matches the Rfam family "Bacterial small subunit ribosomal RNA", at positions 29 to 507 of the family's 1533-position model. The record is from RNAcentral.
AACGAACGCUGGCGGCAUGCCUAACACAUGCAAGUCGAACGAGACCUUCGGGUCUAGUGUCGCACGGGUGCGUAACGCGUGGGAACCUGCCCUUAGGUUCGGAAUAACUCCCCGAAAGGGGUGCUAAUACCGGAUAAUGUCUUCGGACCAAAGAUUUAUCGCCUUUGGAUGGGCCCGCGUUGGAUUAGCUAGUUGUUAGGGUAAAAGCCUACCAAGGCGACGAUCCAUAGCUGGUCUGAGAGGAUGAUCAGCCACACUGGGACUGAGACACGGCCCAGACUCCUACGGGAGGCAGCAGUGGGGAAUAUUGGACAAUGGGGGAAAGCCUGAUCCAGCAAUGCCGCGUGAGUGAUGAAGGCCGUAGGGUUGUAAAGCUCUUUUAACCGGGAUGAUAAUGACAGUACCGGGAGAAUAAGCUCCGGCUAACUCCGUG